Molecule: ribosomal RNA, 393 nt
Filed under: uncultured bacterium
Lineage: Bacteria
Description: partial 16S ribosomal RNA
Rfam family: Bacterial small subunit ribosomal RNA
Source: RNAcentral
AUACGGAGGAUGCAAGCGUUAUCCGGAUUUAUUGGGUUUAAAGGGUGCGUAGGCUGUCUGUCAAGUCAGGGGUGAAAUGCCACAGCUUAACUGUGGAACUGCCUUUGAUACUGGCAGGCUGGAAUACGGAUGCCGUGGGAGGAAUGAGUAGUGUAGCGGUGAAAUGCAUAGAUAUUACUCAGAACACCGAUUGCGAAGGCAUCGCACGAAUCCGUCAUUGACGCUGAGGCACGAAAGCGUGGGGAUCAAACAGGAUUAGAUACCCUGGUAGUCCACGCAGUAAACGAUGAUAACUAACCGUCGGCGAUACAAUGUCGGUGGCCAAGCGAAAGCGAUAAGUUAUCCACCUGGGGAGUACGUUCGCAAGAAUGAAACUCAAAGGAAUUGACGGGG